This is a non-coding RNA of Bactrocera oleae (olive fruit fly), 1235 nucleotides long. Lineage: Eukaryota; Metazoa; Arthropoda; Insecta; Diptera; Tephritidae. The record is from RefSeq and is a predicted model, not a curated record.
UGUCAGGUUUUUUUCUUUAUUUGCGAAGUUCUUAACGUCAAGUUGGAAUCAGUAGUCAUUUCCAUCAUUUGAACAAAAUCAAUUUUAUUACAAAUUAAAAUCAAAAUGUUGGGUCGCACAAGUCUUUUGGCUCGUAAUAUCACCCAGAGUUUGGUCAGGCACCACAGCCAUGGCGGUAUUCCCGGCGAGAACUUGCCUUUCGGUCUGAAUAACCGCUACAAGUUGACCGCUUACUUUAUACUUUUCUUCGGUUCUGGAUUGGCUGCUCCGUUCUUGGUCGUCAGACAUCAACUGCUGAAGAAGUAAAAUUUAAGGCCCAACUUUGUAAGCAUAAAUGAUGGAAUUUUGGCUGGAAAACUUUUGAAAGCUAUGACCAACUAUUUAAAAGUGUGUUAUGUAUGAUUAAGAUAAAAGUGAAACUAUUUUCACCAAUAAAAAGUAUGUCAUACUAAAAGGUCUUGAAUUUUUUAAUUAAUAUUUGGCAAGCGAAUUUUGAAUUUGUGAAAAUAUAAUGAGCGGACAUGGUGGAUAUGAAUAAUUUUGGCAGAAAAUAAAAAAAACAAUACUUGAUAGGAAUGUAAAUGAUUCCUUAGGGCGAUACAUCCUUUUUAUAUAUAAAAAAAUCAUAUAACUUUUAAAUAUUGUCCGAAUUGUCUAUUUUAUUCCAUAUCAAGCAUUUGUAGGAUUCCCAAAACUGUGGGGAAUUAUUAAAAUGUAAAUACUGUAGAUUUUUAAAUACACCUAGUGUCACCUAGCUUCGAAAGAAAACUUUUUAAGUUAAAAAAAGUAUACUUUGACAUAUCUGUUAAAAAACCGUCAUCCACAAAAAAAUACUUUCAAGAACUGAAUCCUACAUAUAUAAAUAUUACAAACAUUUCAGAGUGAAUUGGCUGAACUUUUGAUUGGAAAUAUACAAAUCCACUAAAAUGACUGGUCGAUUAGGUAUGCUUGCCCAUAGAAUACGUCAAGUUUCAACCACAAUGGUACGACAAGGCGGACAUGGCAGACCCGGUUGUCCGGGUGAAAAUCUUCCAAUAAACUUGAAUGCUGGAAAAUUCAAAAUAACUAUGAUUAUGACACUAUUCUUUGGAGUCGGCUUGGGCGCUCCUUGGCUCGUAGUCAUGUGGUCAAUGGUAAAAGGCAAAUAAUGGUAAAAUUAAAUUAACAAAACAAUGUUAAUUAUAACACAACGUGUUUGUACAAAAUAAAUAUAAUGCUGUAUUAAAAAACAAAAA